GGGGCUGUAGCAUAGCUGGUCUAUUGCGCUUCAUUUGCAAUGAAGAGGUCGCGGGUUCGAAUCCCGCCAGCUCCA
RNAcentral lists this transfer RNA (75 nucleotides) under Candidatus Dojkabacteria bacterium. RNAcentral describes it as "tRNA-Ala". It matches the Rfam family "tRNA". Rfam says of the family: Transfer RNA (tRNA) molecules are approximately 80 nucleotides in length. Their secondary structure includes four short double-helical elements and three loops (D, anti-codon, and T loops). The record is from RNAcentral.